AGGAUGAGUGCUAGUGUUGGAGGGUUUCCGCCCUUCAGUGCUGCAGCAAACGCAUUAAGCACUCCGCCUGGGGAGUACGACCGCAAGGUUGAAACUCAAAGGAAUUGACGGGGGCCCGCACAAGCGGUGGAGCAUGUGGUUUAAUUCGAAGCAACGCGAAGAACCUUACCAGGUCUUGACAUCCUUUGACCACUCUAGAGAUAGAGCUUUCCCUUCGGGGACAAAGUGACAGGUGGUGCAUGGUUGUCGUCAGCUCGUGUCGUGAGAUGUUGGGUUAAGUCCCGCAACGAGCGCAACCCUUAUUGUUAGUUGCCAUCAUUUAGUUGGGCACUCUAGCGAGACUGCCGGUGACAAACCGGAGGAAGGUGGGGAUGACGUCAAAUCAUCAUGCCCCUUAUGACCUGGGCUACACACGUGCUACAAUGGGAAGUACAACGAGUCGCUAGACCGCGAGGUCAUGCAAAUCUCUUAAAGCUUCUCUCAGUUCGGAUUGCAGGCUGCAACUCGCCUGCAUGAAGCCGGAAUCGCUAGUAAUCGCGGAUCAGCACGCCGCGGUGAAUACGUUCCCGGGCCUUGUACACACCGCCCGUCACACCACGAGAGUUUGUAACACCCGAAGUCGGUGAGGUAACCUUUUUGGAGCCAGCCGCCUAAGGUGGGAUAGAUGAUUGGGGUGAAGUCGUACAAGGGUAACCGA
RNAcentral lists this ribosomal RNA (697 nucleotides) under Enterococcus faecalis. RNAcentral describes it as "bacterial SSU rRNA". It matches the Rfam family "Bacterial small subunit ribosomal RNA", at positions 806 to 1503 of the family's 1533-position model. The record is from RNAcentral. Lineage: Bacteria; Bacillati; Bacillota; Bacilli; Lactobacillales; Enterococcaceae.